AGCGACGGGCGUGUAGCUGCCUGUAUCGACCUGGUAAGGUUAUGGUACAGGAGGAAAGUCGGGACUCCGAAGGGCAGGUUGGCCGUUAACGGCGGCCUUGAGUAAUCAAGGGAAAGUGCCACAGAGAACAGACCGCCGUGGCGAGUUUCUAUGAAGGGGCUUGUCAGGGUAAGGGUGAAACGGUGAGGUAAGAGCUCACCAGCAGAUAGGGUAACCUAUCUGGCUUGGUAAACCCCAGCUGGAGCAAGGCCGAGUAGGGAAGUUUCGUUAUCUCUCUUUACCUUCGGGUAAGGGGAUUUGCGACAUCGUAGCCCGCGAUGAGUCUUCCGGGUAGAGCUGCAAGAGUGAACCAGCAAUGGUUCGCCUAGAUGAAUGGCUACAGAAAACAGAAUCCCGCUUAUAGCCCAUCCUUCGAC
Molecule: RNase P RNA, 416 nt
Filed under: bacterium
Lineage: Bacteria
Description: RNase P RNA component class A
Rfam family: Bacterial RNase P class A
About the family: Ribonuclease P (RNase P) is a ubiquitous endoribonuclease, found in archaea, bacteria and eukarya as well as chloroplasts and mitochondria. Its best characterised activity is the generation of mature 5'-ends of tRNAs by cleaving the 5'-leader elements of precursor-tRNAs.
Source: RNAcentral